UGCUUUAUAUUUUUUGCUCCAACUACUCUGGACAAACCGAAGCCCCGUAAUAUGCUACAGUCUCUCACACUUCCAGAGUUUGCUUCUGCUAUUUCUAUGGGAAAGUCAUUGUUCCUUUUUCAGCUCCUAGGUCAUUCCUGUUAGUCCUUUAGUACUAAGUGUAGAUGCCAGCUCUCCCUGACAUCUUCCCCAGCUUUUUCAGUGUGAGUCUUUACCUCUUUUCUGUGCCUCUUAAUGUAGGGGCGUAUACCUAUCCUUCCAUUUAGCGCAACUACAUUUUUCUCAGAUGAAUAUAUUUUAUGUCGAGAUGGUGUUUUCUUGAAAUGUACAAAUCCUGCCCUCCCCACCAGUGACAAUCUGAUAAACAGGAAAAUUAUUAUUUUUUAAUUGAGUUGUUGAAAUAAGGAUUCAAACUACAGUAGGGAGAAAACCAAGGAAGGAGCCAUAAAGGAAACAAUAUUGGAGGUAACACUGACCAGAUUUGGCAACUUCUGUACAGUAUUACUGAAAGGGAAUAAUUAGAAAUGAUUGUAACAUUUUUAGUCCGAAUGAAUGGAAGGGUAGAAUUAUAUGGCCAUCUGGUUUGGACAGGAGGCAAAACAUCCAUUUUUGAAAUGUUAAGUUUAAAAAAUCUAUAGGGCAUCCAUGAAUAGAUACAUGGGAGGCAUUCAGGAUUUGGGACAUAGGUUUCAAAGGAAAGAUCCGAGCUAGAAAAAUAGAUUUAGUCUUCAAUAUAUAAAAAACAAAACAAAACAAAACAUCAUUGUAGCCACAAGCAAGAGAAAUGUAGUUAACUGAGAAUGUGAAGUCAAGGAGUUGACGUGUCCUAUGGAGUCACAGAAGGAGGAGCUUGUGCUAAGUGACAAUUUUGGUCAGGACUUCUGAUGUAGACAUUUUUCUGAUGGGUUUUCUCUCAGUUCAUUUAUUGACAUAGAAGGAUAUUCCACAGAUACAAUAUGUCAGCAUACGAGACGCAAAAAACUGCUGUUCUUUUGUUUUGAAAGCAUCAUCCUCCAAGAGUCAUGCAAAUCAGAAAUUUAUUAUGGAAGCUGUACUUUUAGAUCAUCUGGGAAUUUCCCUAAAUUUAACGCCCCUACUGUCAUAUUGUCCCUCCCAUUUUUACAUAAAGGAACAUAAAAUGCUAGAAAGAUUGCAUCCAGGCUUGCAUGUAAUUUUGCAAAAGUGACGGAUUUUAAAAAUUUCACAAAGGGCAAUUAUACUACACAAUAUUAUUCUUCUCAGUUAUGCAUCUGUUGAAGGAAAAAAUGGUGUCAUUAAAUGAAAACAUAAAGUUCUUGACAUUUAUUGUUGUUUAUUGAGCUUGGCUGACUGUACAAAUAUAGCUCCUAAAAUUAUAAAUUGCUAAUUUCUUAAAGUAAAAAGUAAAAUUCUGAACUCUGAACAUAAAUUUUAAACAACAAACUGAUACAUUCUUAAGUACCUAUGGAUUACAAAGUUUCAGGAAACAGAUAUAAUAAGAGUAAUAACGACUGCAACAUAAUUCAUACUAGUAAUAGAUUCUCCAUUUUGCUUAUCAAAAGUAUUUGCUUUUUAACAAUUAUUGUAGGUCUCAUCACGAACAUGCAUUGAGAUGCUUCUGCUGGGAUGUUGCGUUUCAGCUUCCACAUUCUCUGUGGUAACAGUGUGCAGGAAAAUGCAAGGGUAGGGAUGAGAUACAUAGUAUUGCCAGAAGCAAUUUGAAACUGGCUAGGCAGAAACACAACCUAUUUUUUUUGGGGGGGGGUUCCACCUUUUCUGAUCCAGAAAAUGUUUGCGUUAACUCUCAUUCCCAGCUGGAAGCUACUUUAUUAUGACUCAGUGGAUCAAUAUACACUGGGAACUGUCAACUAUGAUAGGUGGCCUGACAAUCCGAUAAAAGGGCUCAUUGGUUUGAGUGGAAAUGAGGCUGCAUUGUGAGACAUUCUUCUUAUCAAAAAGGACAAUUUAGAACUUUCCAUUAUACAUUACAAAUAGAAAUAAGUUGGAGAUAAACAGAGCAAAAUGAUGGGUUUUUUUCCCUCUUCUGCCUGCAUUCUGCGUCUUUCACGUCCUGACAGACUUGAUCAUGCUCCCUCAAAACCCUGGCUGAUCUUUAUCUCAGCAAAACCGCAGAAACAUUCACCUGAUUUUUUCUGAUAUAGAAUAAUUAGUGGCCUGUAAUUUGAGAAGAGUUUUAAACCUCAGUUUAGGAGAUACAACAACAUGGACAAUUACAAGUGUGUAACCACAGGUUAAAAUCAGCUUAAUAAAAGUGCCUAGAUUGGAAAAAUCGCCCACCAGUGGUUUGUUACAUUUGUUAUAUUUUCACUCUUCCCCAUUUUAACACAGUGUAAUCCCAAAAAAAUCAAAUACGUUGAAACUUCAGUUUUUUCGUCUGAUGAGGUAAAGAAAUCAUUUAAAGCACAUUUAAUAAUCAAGGAUAAGGCCAACAAAUCUAAAUAUGUGUUAGUCCCCGGCAAAAGUAAUGGUAAUGUAUCAUGAUUUUUACAUAAACCUCAUAAUAGCAAAUCUUUUCUCUACAUUUUUCAUAAAAUCAUAGCCCUUGUGCAUUCCUCUCAUUUGUUUGUAGGCCAGGAGCCAGAUGGAACUAGCUGGGGUGCACGGAUAUUACAGGAAGCAAUUCAUUGCGUAGUAAAAGGGCCUGCAGUUGAAAGCAUUUCUAGAAUUGAAUGUGUGCACAGGGGAAUAUUGUACCUGCUAGCUUCAAACUCUGAAUUCUAUUUGCAUACCACUCUAUCAUUCUGUUACAGAACAUACCUGUUAAAGCCAGCAUGUAGGUAUAUAUAUGUACACUGGGAAUUAUGAAAAUUUAUACAUACAUGUAUAUAUUUGUUUCUCUCUGUCUGGUUUGUAGUAAAAAUCAUUGUGAUAACCAAUAAAUGUGGAGUGAUUCUGCCCCAGAAUGUGAAUGUGACUGUACUAAUGCUAUACAUAUAGCAAAAUGCUUUUUGAAUUGGAUAUAUGCAUUAAUUCUUCUGACCACCUAUAUAUAUAUUCAAACAGCAUUAUUAUUGAAAAUCCACCUAUCAUUUUAUAAAGUCACAAUAUGUAAAUGUAUUAGCAGAUUUUGAGAUGUUAGGCACCCAAACAAAAUACUCAUACAGCUACAAUGAGAUAUCACAUAGUACUACUACAGUAUAUUAAUCUUCAGAUCUGAAAUACUGGUUGAUAUUAUUUUCUCAGGCCAGUUUUAAAUCCCUGAGUCUGAAGAUUAGAUUGAUAGUUGAGGAAUAAAACAAAAACACCCCACAUUUUUUCAGUGUUGUCAGAACUUUAGCUGUUAUGAGUAUUGUCAAGAUGAGGGAGAUCCUAUUUGUUAUUUAGUCCAGAGACAUUUUUCCAUCUGUGACCACAUAUGAGAUCAUCUAAACAUCCCUAGCCUCUGCUAGGGGUUAGUCUAGAAGGGACUGACACAACCAAAAGACAUCCCUUCUAGAUAUACUCAGAUUUUCUGAUUUCCUAACCUUCUUUCUACUGUUUUCCAAAAUGGCAGUGGUUAUGUAAUGAACUCACAUGAUGUCAUGGCACAAUUAGAUGGGGACUCCCCUGGCUAAUACUGGUUAUUUUGCUGGUAACUAUCACCAGAUUGUUGGCUGGAUCUCUUUGCCCAGGACAUUGACAUCUGCUGAGUCUGACUGAGUUGAUCCUAACAUUGGAUGUUCAUUGAUACACAUUUAGCGACCCAUCUAUUCCUUUGAAUGUUCCCUUGGCAAAGACCAUCAACUUUUACUAGCUGGUCUCCAUGAUACUUCUUGUUGCCAUUCAGAGUUCAUGAAGCUGGCUGUGACUUUCUUUUGGCUAAUGGAUGAAGCAGUUCUGUAGUAAGUAGCCUUUGAGUAUUGCCACUUAUCAGGAAGAAUUCCUUUGGCUGACUCUCAGCCAGACCCACAUUCACUUCUAGGCAUUGUUCUUCAGCUUCUUCUCUAAGGCUUUGAUUGUUGAAUGGUUAGGUUACUGGGGAGUAUGAUGCAUUAAGCAGAAACAUGAAAAACACAUUGUUUUAAUAAAAAUAAAACACUGAUUGCCUGUCAAAGAAGAAUUGCACUGGACUGAGUUUAGCGGUCAAGGAAGACUUUAUUCAACGGAGUUCAAGAAGAUUGAGAGAGAGCUUGAACUCAAUUCCAUUGAAACAAUUCCGUUGAAGCAUUAGGCUGAGCUAGUGGAAAUAUACUGGAGGACAUUGGGGAGGGGGGGACUUGGCCAAUGUGAUGAGGCCAUCUGUGUUUGCUAAUUGGAUCUUAUGUAAGUUAGGCUCCUACUCUCCCACAGAGCCUGGAAGAUGGAAGUCCUAUCUUUCUUGAUGAUUACAUUUCAAAGGGGUGGCUCCCAGGUCCUUGAGAAAGACAUCCCUGGAUUGUAAAACUGGCAAGAGGCUGGAUGAAGAUUUACACCUCAAGGGGCAGAGACAGAAUUUACAAUCAUAAGUUUUAUAAAGUAAAUGCUGUAAGAAAAGGGAGGUCAGGAGCUUAAAGUCAGAAAGAAACUUGUCUAAAGUUUAGUCUAGCUGAGGGGAAUGUUAUGGCUGUCUUGAUCACGUGCAUCACUAAUAAUGUCCCUUCUUGCCUGAGAAAUAAAAAUGACUACAAUUGUCUACAAGCCAGGGAGCAAGCCCUUACCAGGAACUGAAUCUCCCAGCCUCUUGAUCUUGGACUUCUCAGCCUCUAGAACUGUGAAAAAAUAAAUGUCUGUUGUUUAAAAUAAAUAAAUCAUAUAAUUAAAUAUGUGUAUUCAAGACUGAAUUGGACGAAUACUUAAGCCCAGAGGUAAACAAAUCUCAUUAAUUGGGAACAUAAUGUUAUAUUAAUGCGUUUUAGCAUUUUUACUAAUUGGGGAGUCACAUGAUUUAAUCAGUAAAAUGCCUGAAAUUGGUUUUGCACUUUACCUUUUUGAUGUACUAUGCCCUAGUAAUGCUGGCUUUUCUACCAUUAAGUGGAAAUGAUGUCUGUUGGGUACAGGAGAGUGACUUCAGUUUGUUGACCCAGAAGGAGUGAUAUGAGAAUAUUUGGCUCAUGACAGCUUAUCAUCUCAGUCUGGCUAGGGAAGAUAAAAAAAAAAAAAAGGCAGAGAAGCGAAAAAUGGUUUUAAAAUCUUUGGGAUAUUGCCAGUAGGCUCUCUCAAAUGCAUGAUGUCAUUUACUGAAAUGACCUGCCUCCCUGUAAAAGAUCUAAAUCAAAAUUUUUAGAAAAGUAUUAUAAUGGGCUUAGAAAGCCAACAUAGGCAGCUCCUGAUUAUCAUCUGAAUUUCUAGACAUGUGCUAAAAAUCAUUUUUCCAAAACUACUAGUUUGAAUGAAAUAAAACUUUGUGUGGAAAAAACAAAAUUAGUCCCAGAAUUUGGCAUAUUUGUAAUUUUAUUCUAGCCUUCCAGGGGAAAUUUGGCUGUCAUAAAAUUUGCAAAUCAAAUACACAAAUCAAAAUGCCUGCAUAGAGAAAGGUUGUAAAUAUUUACUUUUCAAAGCACUGCAUUAUUAAAGAUUUCAGAAAUGUCCAAUCAGUCAAUACAAGAACUAAGAUUAAAAGUCGAUCUGCCAAUUUGUGGUGAGGGAAAAUUGAUUGACAGCAAAGAACUAAAGAGAAGACAAUUUAGUGAGGUAUUAUUAAUUUAGAAGCUUGCUGGGGAGUUGAAGUGAAAAAGCAUCUCUUUUUCAUUGUAUCAAAAAUUCCAAAAUAAAGCAAUACGUACAUCUUUGAAAUGUAGUUUACAAGUGAUUAAGCCAUGUAGCUCUGAGGCAAUUGGUUGUCUGUGUAUGUGUGUGUGUGUGUGUGUGUAUGUGUGUAACUCAGUUGAGUUCUUCAACUUUUUUGAAAACUUCAUAAAAAAUACCGUGCAGGAAAGAAAAGUAUUCUGUGCUUUUAUUUAGUUUGGUUAGAGUAUCAGCUUUUUCAGCAGUUCAUAUAAAUUUAGGCCAUGUUACUAUGCGUGCAUGACUAUAAAUUUAUUUCAAUCUUACAUGCAGUAAAUACUUUUUUAGCACCUAUUACAUGUCCAGCAGUGUGCUAGACCCUUGGGGUCUGUCAGUGAAUAAAACAAGUGAAGGUCCCUCAUCUCAUAGAGCUUAUAUUCUAUUACAUGUCAUAUAUAAACACUAAAUAUACUACAUACAAUCAUAUGCUAUAUUAAAAGAUGGAGAUUUCUGUGAAAAAUGAAAAAGGGGUUCAGGGGCAGACAAACAGGAGGAGGAUUGUAAAGCAGAAGGAAUUUUAAAUAGAGGAGGUCAGGAGAUACAAGCCUCUAAGAGAGGGUAGAAUUCAAGCAAAGUCUUAUAGGCAGCAAAAGUAUUAGCCCAGAGUGUCUCAGAGAAAAAACAUGCCUGGCAGAAACAUGAGCUUAAUAAAGCUCCUGAGAUGGAAAAUGACUGAUAGUCAGUUUAUUCAAAGAACAGCAAGGAGGCCAUACUAAAUGGACGGCCGUGAGCUGGGAGGAAGAAAGAGAAGGUAGAGAUGAUAUGGGGCUGGUUGAAGGGGGCAGAUCAUUAAGGACACUGCACGUGGCGUAGCGGGAACUUUGUCUUUCACUCUGUAAAGUUGAGAGUUAUUGCAGUAUUUGGUGCACAGGUAUAAUAUUUCACACCUGUUGUGUAGAGAAUAGAGUCUCAAUGGGCACAGGGAGAAAGAGAGAGACUUAUUAGGUGACUGUUGCAAGAAUCCAGGCUUGAAUAAUAUGGCCUGAAUCAAAGGAGCAUCCAUGAAGGUAGAAAAACAGCAGGAUUCUUAAUAAUAAAGUAGUACCAACAGCAUCUUCUGGUGGUUUGGUAGUAUGAUAUGAGGGAAAGAAAGGGGACAAGUGUGACUCAAUUUCUUUUUUGUACUGAGGAACUGGAAGGAUAAAAUCACCAUGUACGGGCUGGGAAAGGAUGUGAACAGAGUAAGAUUCAGAGGGAGAAUGGAAAAUUAAUUUUGCAAAUGUUAAAGAGAUCAAGUAGUGUAGAAUACAUGAGUCUUGGGUUCAGGGAAGAAGUGUAGGCAGAUUUAUGAAUGAGGGAAUUUUUGACAUAUGGGUAAUACUUAAAUUCAUCAGGCUAAGAGAGAUCACCAAGGAGUGAAUGCAGAGAGAAAAGCAGAGUAAAGGUCUGAGACCUAGAGAGUCUCAACUUUAAAAUAUGAUGUGAGAUAAAAGAAGAAACCAGCCAUGGGAGUGAGGAUUAACUAAUUAGGUAGCAAGAAAAUUAAGAGAAGGUGGUUUUGUGGAAGCUAAGUGAGCCGUCUCUUCAGGCAUAGGGAGUGAUCGCAAGUAUCAGACGCCACAGAUUGUCCGUGUGAAUGGAAGACUGAAGCCUGACCACUGGAUUUAGCAACAUGGAGUUCUUGGUGACUUUGAGAAGAGCAGUUUCAGUUGAGUGGCAGAGAAUUAAAGUCUGAUUGGAGUUGGCCCAAGAAAGAACAGGAUGAGAAAAGUUGGAAAGUGAUGUGAAUAUACAUUAUUUGAAGACUGUUAACAUUAAAAGAAGAGGAAAAAAAUAGAAUGGGUUCCAGAAAAGUUUUAUUAUUUUCCUUUUAAAAUGAGAAAAAUAAGAGCGUGCUGAUGUAACGUGCACUGAUGGGAAUUAUCCAUUAAAGAGAAAAAUAAUGAAGCAGGAGAGAGACGAGAAUUGCUGAAGCGGUGACCCUGAGAUGGAUCUGCACAAGUAAGGGGCCCAACAACUGGCUUAUGUAACUAGAAAGCACAGCAAACAAUGCAGGCACAGCGGGACCUAGCAUCCUGAUUGUGUUUUCAGAACUUUGUCACUUCAUUUCUUAACUCUCCUCUCUCUGUUGGCUUCACUCAGGCAGGCUUUCUACAGCAAUAUUCCUACAGCUUGAUGCCUGUAUCUUAUCUUCUCAGCAUUAACAGUGGACAAGAGUCUCUUAGACUCCAGUAGUCCCAACAAAAUCCUGAAAUUGUUCCAUGAUCAUGGCUCAAGGUCACCUGCCCUUCACGGAAACAAUCACCGUGAUCAAAGUAGGCAAGGUCAAGAUUCAGAAGUGAACGUGGGAAAAGACCAACAGCAACAGACGCAGUAUCUUUAGAGUCACGAUCUCUUCCGGCAGAAGCGAAAAAUGACACUGGUAAAAAUACAAAGCUAUUAAAAGGGUCUAAAUGGUGGCCUGGGGGCACUGCACACCAUUUAAGGGAGCCAAACAAAUAUUGGGACCCUGUUCCUUCCAUUUCCUGACAUUGUUGUAAUUUAAUGUCAAGAUCCAAAUGAUCUGGGCAAACUUGGGCUCUUGGGGAAAUGUAGAUGAAAUCACAUUUGAAAAAAAGUAAUUAUCUUGGAGGGAAGCUUUCCUAUGACAAUUUUAAUUAAGCCAAUUAUUUUCUAGGAAUUUAGAUGUCCUAAUGGUGGCUAGAACCGUCAUUCAAUUAUGUUCACUUGUGUUUUGUGUCCUUGAACAUCUGUGUCCUUUUACACUUUAAAAUCUUGAGGAAGAAAUGUAACUCUUCCUGUCUGUGCAGUCUCUAUUUGUGUAAAGUUGACAUAUCACCUUUACUGAUGACCACCAGGAAUGUCUGUCAUGCCAUUUUUAAUGUUACUAGGAGAUAAAGGUGAUUCUUAUCUAUAUUUUAAAGCUCCAACUAAGAGUAUUUUUUUUUCUUCACCUUUUCCUUUUACUUCCCUGAAAUUUUAAGAUGUGCCUCUCUGACCAGCACUAAAUACUGGUGAUAUUUAGUAGAUGGGAUAUAUGAGUCUUAAACAUAAUUCAGCCAGCCAGGUAAUUUAUAAUUAAAUCAUACUGAAUAAAUUUUUUGAGUAUAUUCUUCGGAUAAAAUAUACUACUAUGAGGCAAAGAUAGUUGUAAUUACUCCAGGGGUAAAGAAUGAAAAAUGGGGUGAUUUGUAAAGUGACAGUCUCCCACGGAUUAAAACAGUAUUAAAAAUAAGCAAUUUCUCACUUGCACUAAAAUAUUUGCAUAGUAUUUGGAAAAUUUACUUAGCCUCUUCAAAUAUUUUUGUUUUUUUUUUUGAAAAGAGAUGUUAAAGCAUAUUUCAUCUCACUAAUUUUAAUAAUUAAGUUAAUACAGUGUAUACAAUUUCUAAUAGUGUGCUUCGCAUACAAUAGGCCCUAGAUAAUUUUUAGUUUGCUUUUCUUUCCUUAUAAUUCAUAGCAGCACAUAUUAUAGAAGCAAGUUUCUCAGAAAUCUGAUGUUGAAAAACGGUAGUCAGCAGAUAAAAGAGAUGCUGUCUCUGCGGUCAAUCAGAUACUAAAUUUUUUCAAAGCUGAACUUUCCUGCGAUCGUAACUCUCUUUGGAGCUAAUAGCAAUAAUAAUUUUUUUUUUUAUAAUUCAAAACGUUACAACUGCCAUAUACUCUCAUGUUUGCUGAAGGUGGGAGAAAUCAAUAGGCACUUAAUAUGCUUUUAAAAUGUAAUUAUCAUAACAAUACUACAGCAUUUGAGAGUCUUGUGAAUGGGGAGAACUUUUACCUUUCAAAGUGAGUUUCAGGCUGAAAUAUGAAGAGUUAAGAAAUGUUUCCAUUUGAAUACAUUUAUGACACUUUAUUACACCAAGUCUCCGUAACAAGGUUAAGGCAGGAGAAAGGGGACGGUGGAACAGGGAAAGGAAACCUGCAGUAUGGGAAAAAAUAUGAACUGGUGGGAGCAAGACUCUUGUUUUUGUUCUGUGGGUAGAUUAUCAGUAACUAUGGAAGAGAUGGGGUUAUGAAAAGAUGGUCUUUAGUUUCAUAAGAAUUGGUUUAUUAUGAUAUUGAAUAUAUUGGCAUACUAAAAUCAUGAGGCCAAAUAACACGUUACCUGGCAGCUGAAAGGUUUUGUUAAUAAACGAAAUAAAUCAUUACGUUUUAUUUUAUGGUAAUACAGAGUUUAAAAUGUGCUGGAGUUAGUCAUCGCUUUCUUCAUUAGAAAAGUAAAUAUGACAACAGUGUGUUUCUGAGGGCUGUGUGGUUUGGUGGUGGCCAUCCGGCUGGUGGUCUAACCUCAGCUGUAGUUAUGUUUGUAUUUCAUGUUGCUGGUGUCCCUUCCUGUCAUAGGCUGGCAAAAAAAAAAA
This is a long non-coding RNA of Sapajus apella (tufted capuchin), 9980 nucleotides long. RefSeq lists it as uncharacterized. The record is from RefSeq and is a predicted model, not a curated record. Lineage: Eukaryota; Metazoa; Chordata; Mammalia; Primates; Cebidae. The transcript is spliced from 2 exons.